RNAcentral lists this ribosomal RNA (495 nucleotides) under uncultured bacterium. RNAcentral describes it as "partial 16S ribosomal RNA". It matches the Rfam family "Bacterial small subunit ribosomal RNA", at positions 28 to 507 of the family's 1533-position model. The record is from RNAcentral.
GACGAACGCUGGCGGCGUGCCUAAUACAUGCAAGUAGAACGCUGAAGGAGGAGCUUGCUUCUCUGGAUGAGUUGCGAACGGGUGAGUAACGCGUAGGUAACCUGCCUGGUAGCGGGGGAUAACUAUUGGAAACGAUAGCUAAUACCGCAUAAGAGUAGAUGUCGCAUGACAUUUGCUUAAAAGGUGCAAUUGCAUCACUACCAGAUGGACCUGCGUUGUAUUAGCUAGUUGGUGAGGUAACGGCUCACCAAGGCAACGAUACAUAGCCGACCUGGGAGGGUGGUCGGGCAAACUGGGACUGGGAAACGGGCCAGGCUCCCACGGGAAGCAGCAGUAGGGAAUCUUCGGCAAUAGACGGAAGUCUGACCGAGGAAAGGCGCGUGAGUGAAGGAGGUUUUCGGAACGUAAAGCUCUGUUGUAAGGGAAGAACGAGUGUGAGAGUGGAAAGUUCACGCUGUGACGGUAUCUUACCAGAAAGCGACGGCUAACUACGUG